RNAcentral lists this ribosomal RNA (468 nucleotides) under uncultured bacterium. RNAcentral describes it as "partial 16S ribosomal RNA". It matches the Rfam family "Bacterial small subunit ribosomal RNA", at positions 28 to 507 of the family's 1533-position model. The record is from RNAcentral.
GACGAACGCUGGCGGCGUGCUUAACACAUGCAAGUCGAACGGAAAGGCCCUGCUUUUGUGGGGUGCUCGAGUGGCGAACGGGUGAGUAACACGUGAGUAACCUGCCCUUGACUUUGGGAUAACUUCAGGAAACUGGGGCUAAUACCGGAUAGGAGCUCCUGCUGCAUGGUGGGGGUUGGAAAGUUUCGGCGGUUGGGGAUGGACUCGCGGCUUAUCAGCUUGUUGGUGGGGUAGUGGCUUACCAAGGCUUUGACGGGUAGCCGGCCUGAGAGGGUGAACGGCCACAUUGGGACUGAGCUACGGCCCAGACUCCUACGGGAGGCAGCAGUGGGGAAUAUUGCACAAUGGGCGGAAGCCUGAUGCAGCAACGCCGCGUGCGGGAUGACGGCCUUCGGGUUGUAAACCGCUUUCGCCUGUGACGAAGCGUGAGUGACGGUAAUGGGUAAAGAAGCACCGGCUAACUACGUG